GUGCCAGCGCCGCGGUAAUACGUAGGUGGCGAGCGUUGUCCGGAAUUACUGGGUGUAAAGGGAGCGCAGGCGGGGAGACAAGUCAGCUGUGAAAACUACCGGCUUAACCGAUAGAUUGCAGUUGAAACUGUUUUUCUUGAGUGGAGUAGAGGCAGGCGGAAUUCCGAGUGUAGCGGUGAAAUGCGUAGAUAUUCGGAGGAACACCGGUGGCGAAGGCGGCCUGCUGGGCUCUAACUGACGCUGAGGCUCGAAAGUGUGGGGAGCAAACAGG
This 271-nucleotide ribosomal RNA is filed under the name uncultured bacterium. RNAcentral describes it as "partial 16S ribosomal RNA". It matches the Rfam family "Bacterial small subunit ribosomal RNA", at positions 505 to 776 of the family's 1533-position model. The record is from RNAcentral.